Molecule: ribosomal RNA, 292 nt
Filed under: uncultured bacterium
Lineage: Bacteria
Description: partial 16S ribosomal RNA
Rfam family: Bacterial small subunit ribosomal RNA
Source: RNAcentral
GUGUCAGCCGCCGCGGUAAUACGUAGGUGGCAAGCGUUGUCCGGAUUUAUUGGGUUUAAAGGGUGCGUAGGCGGCUUUGUAAGUCAGUGGUGAAAUAUGUCAGCUUAACUGAGAGGGUGCCAUUGAUACUGCAGAGCUUGAGUACAGAUGAGGUAGGCGGAAUUGACGGUGUAGCGGUGAAAUGCUUAGAUAUCGUCAAGAACACCUAUAGCGAAGGCAGCUUACUAGGCUGUAACUGACGCUGAGGCACGAAAGUGUGGGGAUCAAACAGGAUUAGAAACCCCAGUAGUCC